GGGGUGCUGAAUGUCUCCAAAGGCGAUAGGAUUGUGAUGAGGAGGAGGUUGAGGAGUUGUCUAUACCAGAUGAAGGGAUCUGCUGUAUCCAAAGAGGUCGAGGUGAUUGCUUUAGCUAUGGAGGAUCAGCAGGUGGUUCAGUCGGUGCAAAUUGGAUAGCUAAUGGUGUGUUUAUCAAAUUUUCCUGUUGCUGGGUCGUCGGAU
This 204-nucleotide long non-coding RNA is filed under the name Elaeis guineensis (African oil palm). RNAcentral describes it as "long non-coding RNA (EGUI_LNC042850)". Lineage: Eukaryota; Viridiplantae; Streptophyta; Magnoliopsida; Arecales; Arecaceae. The record is from RNAcentral.